UUAUUUUAUUAGUUGGACAACUAUUGUACUUGAAAAGGCACAUUAAAAAGGGCGAGUUGGACGAGUCAAGAGCGGUGACUCAACUCGGAAGAAAGGAAGAAAGACAGGGAUGGACGUAUUCUGCUCGUUACUGCGUCUAUGACAUCGACAUCGCGAGGAUCAAUAGCGUUCGGCGGCGGAUGGCGAGGACGUUUUUGUACUUGAUACUCUGCGGUGGAGUGUCGCUCGUCGGUUAAUUUGUGAGAAAAGGCGUUCUUCCCUGAAGAAACAUGUACAUAGAAUUGGAUCAUAAGAUUUUCUUUCGAGUUUGAGAAGCAGCAGCAUGCUUUGUUAAAAUUGAUGUACUCAUAUUAUGUGUAAGGUUGCACCCUAUGAAGGGCCUGCAUUAAGCAAAGGAUAUUUAUUUCCUGAAGGUAUUGAUUUCCUUGUCAACCAUUUCUUGCAUGACGUUCUGUGCAACGUGCAUGCACUGCCCGCACUAGGAAGCCUUCUAAGCGGAAGCUCAAGCACGCGUUCCUUCAUUUCACUGUUGUGUGGGUACCAAACUACCAAUGGCUAAAGGCUGACUCCACAAGGGUACAAGGAACACGGUCUUGAUUAUGGCCAAGAACCUGGUAGCUUGUGUGCUCAUUAUUAUAUAUGAAGUUGAGUUUGAGGCCCUCAAUGAGGAAUUCAAUCCGUUUGUUUGCUAUUGGUUUAGUUUGGAGAUUCGUAAACUUAUGAUGUGGAGUAUACGAUUGAUGGAUGCAGUACUAUUUACUCAUCAACUGUGCUUCUUUAGGUAUUGAGUUGAUUCUUGGAACUAGACUUCAGUUUUGUUGAUGUGAUCAUGUGAAUUAGAAGAUAUUGCUAACAGCCAAAAGGAGAAACCAUAAGAUAAUACUAUAUCAUAUAGUUCAUUUCAUGUAAUGUACUAAUGUGCCUAUAUCAUAUAAUGUACUAAUGAACUAAUGUGCCUAUAGUUCAUUUCAUGUAAUGUACUAAUGAACUAUAUCAUAUAGUUCAUUUCAUGUAAUGUACUAAUGUGUUCUUUCCUCCAUUUAAGUUGCCUCUGGUUGUUCAA
Salvia splendens (bonfire salvia) is the source of this 1063-nucleotide long non-coding RNA. RefSeq lists it as uncharacterized. The record is from RefSeq and is a predicted model, not a curated record. The transcript is spliced from 5 exons. NCBI's taxonomy places the organism in Eukaryota, Viridiplantae, Streptophyta, Magnoliopsida, Lamiales, Lamiaceae.